Molecule: ribosomal RNA, 253 nt
Filed under: uncultured bacterium
Lineage: Bacteria
Description: partial 16S ribosomal RNA
Rfam family: Bacterial small subunit ribosomal RNA
Source: RNAcentral
UACGUAGGUGGCAAGCGUUGUCCGGAAUUAUUGGGCGUAAAGCGCGCGCAGGCGGUCCCUUAAGUCUGAUGUGAAAGCCCACGGCUCAACCGUGGAGGGUCAUUGGAAACUGGGGGACUUGAGUGCAGAAGAGGAAAGUGGAAUUCCAUGUGUAGCGGUGAAAUGCGUAGAGAUGUGGAGGAACACCAGUGGCGAAGGCGACUUUCUGGCCUGUAACUGACGCUGAGGCGCGAAAGCGUGGGGAGCAAACAGG